CCAGGAAUUUGGGGCGCGGGGUGGGGGUGGGGGCAUCUGGGGAGCUAGGCUGGUGGUGCCUCCUAAAGGUGAUGGGGUGGAGGGGACUUAGGAGGGAGGAAUCAGACAGGAUGUCAACAGAGGGAGCGAGGGUAAGGAGCCCAGUGGAACAGGACCCAUCCUAGGUGUAAGCCAGCCUGGAUCCAGGGCACCACGAUGGGUGCAGGUGACCUUCGCCAGCCUUCAUCUCUCCCAUCUCUCUCGCCUCCCAUACUGCCACCUACAGCCUCGGCAACUGGCCUCCUCUCUUUCUGACUCCCUCGCCUGACUGCCUGUCUGGCCCAGCUUCGGGCUUCCUGCUUAUACAUCCCAGGUCUGCUCCAGCCGGUAGCCUCCUCUCUACUAGUUGCCAGACACCUGUGCCCGGCCUCAACCCCUCUUCCAGAAACUCUUAGUCUAGGAGAAAUGGAUAUGAAACAGAUCCCCGCCCUCCUUUAUAUGAGAGGAAGUGGUGGCCCCUGGAGGGGAAGGACAUGGCCCACAGGCACCUGGUCUCCCAGCACUCCACCCAUGCUAGGGGAUACAGGUUCGAUCCCUGGUCCUCGAGAAGGUCCCACAAGCCGCAGAGCAGCCAAGCCCGUGCACCACAACUACUGAGAAGGUGCCCUAGAGCCCGGGAGCCACAACUAUUGAACCCAUGAACUGCACCUCUGGAAGCUGGCACACCCUAGAGCCUGUGCUCCGCAACAAGAGAAGCCACCGCGAUGAGAAGCCCACCCACCAUGAUGAGCGAGUAGCCUCCACUCUCCACCACGAGAGAGCCUGCUCGCAGCAACAAAGACCCAGCAUAACCAAAAAUAUUUUUUAAAUGUUAAAAAUAAG
Long non-coding RNA from Bos taurus (domestic cattle), 861 nucleotides. NCBI's taxonomy places the organism in Eukaryota, Metazoa, Chordata, Mammalia, Artiodactyla, Bovidae. The record is from Ensembl.